GUGUUGCAGCUGCGAGGAGCGUUAAGGCGAGAGAACCAAAACAAAGUAAUAUUUUUGUUAUUAGACUAAAAUUUAACCCAAGCAAAACCGUGUACGUGUACAUUGAAAGUUUGGAAUAUAAUAACGACAAAAAAAAAGGAAUUCAAAUUUUCCUAAACAAAAUUGUGUUAAUGGCAACAUCGCACCGAUAAAUAGAAUAACUGCUUUAUUUAUGUCAAAUGUCCGAACGAAGAAAAACGAUGCAUUUUGACACAAAUUGAUCUUUUUUAUAGACAAUACUAUAGUUUAUCAAACUAUUUAUUUACAUAUCGUACUUUGACCAUAAUAUACUGAUAUUCGAGUUCUAUAGAUACGAUUGAUCAGUAUCUGGUUGGAACUUACGCUGGUAAAGAGCACGGCAGCGCCAAAGGAACGAUUGCAUAACACUCCAACAUCCCUCAAAAUUUAAGAAGAGUCAAGAAUAUUAAAUCUGAUUUUAAUAUAUCCCUUUUAUUGUUUUAAAAAACUAGUGGCUAUAUUUUAGAUAUAUGUAAUACAUAUACGUAUAUCCACAAUAAUUAAAGUGGACUACGAAUAGAACAAAUUAUAAAAUAAAA
Long non-coding RNA from Drosophila obscura, 596 nucleotides. RefSeq lists it as uncharacterized. Lineage: Eukaryota; Metazoa; Arthropoda; Insecta; Diptera; Drosophilidae. The record is from RefSeq and is a predicted model, not a curated record. The transcript is spliced from 3 exons.